UACCUUUUUAAGCAUGAUCCAUUAUACAAAUUUGACGCCACUUAUGUGUACGUGAGGGCCCGUUGUCCCUAGCGGACAUCCACAGAGCUUUUUCUGCGCUCGUCCUCUCUCUCACCCUCCACGAAGACUGACGGGGCCCGCCACCCGGCAACUAAUAAUAAAAGAAGCGCUCACCGUACGCGCAGUAGAAUUAUCGUCACCCUUGUGCUCCCUUUUACCUGAAAGAGGAAAUGAGCAACGCGUUGAUGCGAGGAGUAAAAGCCGAUGAGGACGAAGAAGAGAGGUGCGCCGAGCCGGAUGUGUUGUUGUGAGGUUUGGGGAAGGUGCGAAUUCCCCGACUAAACAACAUUCAUCACUGCGGCCCAGCGGCAAGCUUCCAUCGUUUACAAUCCAUUAAUACGAAUUUAAAUCAAUCCCUCCCCCCACGGAAACAAUAAGAAGCGGCGCUGGCCAUGUGAGCCCUGCUGCCCUCUUCUGCAGCGACCUGAGACACCAGCGUAGGACAAGGUCGCAGGAUGACUUCCCCGAUUCUCGCUUGUUGGCCGUAGUGUGGAGCGGGAGUUGUGCUGAUGGACAGAGUUGUAAGACAUUAGGUCAAUGGACUUGUCGAUGCAUAGGUAUAUCUCAUUCUGUGGACGCACGCCCAUUUUGGGCCUCCUCCGAUUAAGAUACCUCAUUAACCGACGCAGGCUCCUGAGUUUGGGUGCUUCGCGCUGCUUGUAUUCAAGCAAUGUCAAAUUUUGGUCAAAUAUUAUUUACAUUAAGACUGUACUAUACUUUCCUACAACAUUUCCUACGCAAUACUAACAGAUUUUGACUAACCCUUCAAAAUGACAAGUAUUUUUACCAGUUUUUUAUUUGAUAGAUUACUUUCUGCUUGAAUGACAUUGACUUGUAUUGCCG
This 903-nucleotide small RNA is filed under the name Cryptococcus neoformans H99. RNAcentral describes it as "Cryptococcus neoformans var. grubii H99 hypothetical RNA". The record is from RNAcentral. Lineage: Eukaryota; Fungi; Basidiomycota; Tremellomycetes; Tremellales; Cryptococcaceae.